UACGAAGGGGGCGAGCGUUGUUCGGAUUUACUGGGCGUAAAGGGCGCGUAGGCGGCCUUGUCAGUCAGGCGUGAAAGCCCCGGGCUCAACCCUGGGAUGCCGGUCGAUACUGCCGGACUAGAGUUCGGAAGAGGCGAGUGGAAUUCCCGGUGUAGCGGUGAAAUGCGCAGAUAUCGGGAGGAACACCUAUGGCGAAGGCAGCUCGCUGGGACGUUACUGACGCUGAGACGCGAAAGCGUGGGGAGCAAACAGG
This 253-nucleotide ribosomal RNA is filed under the name uncultured bacterium. RNAcentral's name for it is "partial 16S ribosomal RNA". It matches the Rfam family "Bacterial small subunit ribosomal RNA", at positions 524 to 776 of the family's 1533-position model. The record is from RNAcentral.